Molecule: ribosomal RNA, 510 nt
Filed under: uncultured bacterium
Lineage: Bacteria
Description: partial 16S ribosomal RNA
Rfam family: Bacterial small subunit ribosomal RNA
Source: RNAcentral
GACGAACGCUGGCGGCGUGCCUAAUACAUGCAAGUCGAGCGAAUGAUGAGGAGCUUGCUCCUCUGAUUUAGCGGCGGACGGGUGAGUAACACGUGGGCAACCUGCCCUGUAGACUGGGAUAACUUCGGGAAACCGGAGCUAAUACCGGAUAAUUCUUUUAGCCUCAUGGCUUUAAGCUAAAAGGCGCUUCGGCGUCACUACAGGAUGGGCCCGCGGUGCCUGAGCUAGUUGGUGGGGUAACGGCCUACCAAGGCAACGAUGCAUAGCCGACCUGGGAGGGUGAUCGGCCACAUUGGGACUGAGACACGGCCCAAACUCCUGCGGGAGGCAGCAGUAGGGAAUCUUCCACAAUGGACGAAAGUCUGAUGGAGCAACGCCGCGUGAGUGAUGAAGGUUUUCGGAUCGUAAAACUCUGUUGUAAGGGAAGAACAAGUGCGUUAGGUAAUGAACGCACCUUGACGGUACCUUAUUAGAAAGCCACGGCUAACUACGUGCCAGCCGCCGCCGUAA